GACUUAAAAUCCGUCGAUUUU
RNAcentral lists this transfer RNA (21 nucleotides) under Liparophyllum lasiospermum. RNAcentral describes it as "partial tRNA-Leu". Lineage: Eukaryota; Viridiplantae; Streptophyta; Magnoliopsida; Asterales; Menyanthaceae. RNAcentral also lists the same sequence under 1 other name. The record is from RNAcentral.